GCUGGGUGUGGUGGCAUGUGCCUGUAGUCCCAGCUAUUGGGGAGACUGAGGCUGGAGGAUCUCUUGAGUCCAGGAGUUCUGGGCUGUAGUGCACUAUGCUGAUCUGGUAUCCGCACUAAAUUCGGCAUCAAUAUGGUGACCUCCCGGGAGCAAGGGGCCACCAGCUUGCCUAAGGAUGGGUGAACCGGCCCAGGUCGGAAAUGGAGCAGGUCAAAACUCCUGUGCUGAUCAGUAGUGGGAUCCCACCUGUUAAGAGCCACUUCGCUCCUGCCUGGGCAACAUAGCGAGACCCUGUCUCUU
This 300-nucleotide signal recognition particle RNA is filed under the name Callithrix jacchus (white-tufted-ear marmoset). RNAcentral's name for it is "Metazoan signal recognition particle RNA (ENSCJAG00000072628.1)". It matches the Rfam family "Metazoan signal recognition particle RNA". From Rfam's summary of the family: The signal recognition particle (SRP) is a universally conserved ribonucleoprotein. Lineage: Eukaryota; Metazoa; Chordata; Mammalia; Primates; Cebidae. The record is from Rfam by way of RNAcentral.